UGGGGAAUUUUGGACAAUGGGCGAAAGCCUGAUCCAGCAAUGCCGCGUGUGUGAAGAAGGCCUUCGGGUUGUAAAGCACUUUUGUCCGGAAAGAAAUGGCUCUGGUUAAUACCUGGGGUCGAUGACGGUACCGGAAGAAUAAGGACCGGCUAACUACGUGCCAGCAGCCGCGGUAAUACGUAGGGUCCAAGCGUUAAUCGGAAUUACUGGGCGUAAAGCGUGCGCAGGCGGUUGUGCAAGACCGAUGUGAAAUCCCCGAGCUUAACUUGGGAAUUGCAUUGGUGACUGCACGGCUAGAGUGUGUCAGAGGGGGGUAGAAUUCCACGUGUAGCAGUGAAAUGCGUAGAGAUGUGGAGGAAUACCGAUGGCGAAGGCAGCCCCCUGGGAUAACACUGACGCUCAUGCACGAAAGCGUGGGGAGCAAACAGGAUUAGAUACCCUGGUAGUCCACGCCCUAAACGAUGUCAACUAGUUGUUGGGGAUUCAUUCCUUAGUAACGUAGCUAACGCGUGAAGUUGACCGCCUGGGGAGUACGGUCGCAAG
This 543-nucleotide ribosomal RNA is filed under the name uncultured bacterium. RNAcentral describes it as "partial 16S ribosomal RNA". It matches the Rfam family "Bacterial small subunit ribosomal RNA", at positions 355 to 892 of the family's 1533-position model. The record is from RNAcentral.